This 120-nucleotide ribosomal RNA is filed under the name Propithecus coquereli (Coquerel's sifaka). The record is from RNAcentral. Lineage: Eukaryota; Metazoa; Chordata; Mammalia; Primates; Indriidae.
GUCUAUGGCAUGCUGCCCUGAACGCACCUGAUCCCACCUGACCUCGGAAGCUAAGCAGGGUCAGCCCGGUUAGGACUUGGAUGGGAGAAUAUGACACGUGACGGCCGAGUGCAGUCGCUC